UAAGAAUUUAAAAGUCGAACAGACUUACUAUUAAGAAUUCUGCUUCUUAAAAUUUUCUUAAUUCAACAUCGAGGUCGCAAAAUAAAAUAUAGAUAUGAACUCCCCAUUAAAAUUACGCUGUUAUCCCUAAGGUAACUUAAUCUUUUUACCCUUAGCUAAAGGAUCUAAAAUUACAUAAAUAAAUGAAUGUUAAAACUAAAGUUAAUUAUUUAGUCACCACCCCAGCAAAAUACAAAAUAUACAUCAAAAAGUAUAUAAAAUAAAACUUAAUAAAAUAAAAUUAUAUAAAGUUCUAUAGGGUCUUAUCGUCCCAAUAAACUAAUAAAGCAUUUUAACUUUAAAUUUAAAUUUUAAUAUUUAAAAAAAUAAAAUAUAAUUCUCAUACACCCAUUCAUACAAGCUUUCAAUUAAAAAACUAAUUACUAUGCUACCUUUGCACAGUCAAAAUACUGCAGCCAUUUAGAAAUUCAAACCAUAGGGCAGAAGAUACUUUCUAUAAAACCA
RNAcentral lists this ribosomal RNA (504 nucleotides) under Nesophrosyne furculata. RNAcentral's name for it is "partial 16S ribosomal RNA". The record is from RNAcentral. Lineage: Eukaryota; Metazoa; Arthropoda; Insecta; Hemiptera; Cicadellidae.